GUGCUCACUUCAGCUGCACAUGUACUGAAAUCAGAAUGAUACAGAGAAGAUUAGCAUAGCCCCUGCUCAAAAAUGACACAUAAAUUCAUGAGUUGUUUGCUAUUUUA
Molecule: small nuclear RNA, 107 nt
Organism: Jaculus jaculus (lesser Egyptian jerboa)
Lineage: Eukaryota; Metazoa; Chordata; Mammalia; Rodentia; Dipodidae
Source: Ensembl